This 497-nucleotide ribosomal RNA is filed under the name uncultured bacterium. RNAcentral describes it as "partial 16S ribosomal RNA". It matches the Rfam family "Bacterial small subunit ribosomal RNA", at positions 28 to 507 of the family's 1533-position model. The record is from RNAcentral.
GACGAACGCUGGCGGCGUGCCUAAUACAUGCAAGUAGAACGCUGAAGAGAGGAGCUUGCUCUUCUUGGAUGAGUUGCGAACGGGUGAGUAACGCGUAGGUAACCUGCCUUGUAGCGGGGGAUAACUAUUGGACACGAUAGCUAAUACCGCAUAACAAUGGAUGACACAUGUCAUUUAUUUGAAAGGGGCAAUUGCUCCACUACAAGAUGGAUCUGCGUUGUAUUAGCUAGUAGGUGAGGUAAUGGCUCACCUAGGCGACGAUACAUAGCCGACCUGAGAGGGUGAUCGGCCACACUGGGAAUGGGACACGGCCCAGACUCCUACGGGAGGCAGCAGUAGGGAAUCUUCGGCAAUGGGGGCAACCCUGACCGAGCAACGCCGCGUGAGUGAAGAAGGUUUUCGGAUCGUAAAGCUCUGUUGUAAGUCAAGAACGGGUGUGAGAGUGGAAAGUUCACACUGUGACGGUAGCUUACCAGAAAGGGACGGCUAACUACGUG